This 581-nucleotide ribosomal RNA is filed under the name uncultured Lactococcus sp. RNAcentral describes it as "bacterial SSU rRNA". It matches the Rfam family "Bacterial small subunit ribosomal RNA", at positions 951 to 1533 of the family's 1533-position model. Lineage: Bacteria; Bacillati; Bacillota; Bacilli; Lactobacillales; Streptococcaceae. The record is from RNAcentral.
UCGAAGCAACGCGAAGAACCUUACCAGGUCUUGACAUACUCGUGCUAUUCCUAGAGAUAGGAAGUUCCUUCGGGACACGGGAUACAGGUGGUGCAUGGUUGUCGUCAGCUCGUGUCGUGAGAUGUUGGGUUAAGUCCCGCAACGAGCGCAACCCCUAUUGUUAGUUGCCAUCAUUAAGUUGGGCACUCUAACGAGACUGCCGGUGAUAAACCGGAGGAAGGUGGGGAUGACGUCAAAUCAUCAUGCCCCUUAUGACCUGGGCUACACACGUGCUACAAUGGAUGGUACAACGAGUCGCGAGACAGUGAUGUUUAGCUAAUCUCUUAAAACCAUUCUCAGUUCGGAUUGUAGGCUGCAACUCGCCUACAUGAAGUCGGAAUCGCUAGUAAUCGCGGAUCAGCACGCCGCGGUGAAUACGUUCCCGGGCCUUGUACACACCGCCCGUCACACCACGGGAGUUGGGAGUACCCGAAGUAGGUUGCCUAACCGCAAGGAGGGCGCUUCCUAAGGUAAGACCGAUGACUGGGGUGAAGUCGUAACAAGGUACCAGAUCUGCUGAAAAACCAGCUGCGAGUUUCGAG